AUUGAACGCUGGCAGCAGGCCUAACACAUGCAAGUCGAACGCGUGGCGCACGGGUGAGUAAUGUCUGGGAAACUUCGCGAUGGAGGGGGAUAACUACUGGAAACGGUAGCUAUUACCGCAUACCAUCGGAUGUGCCCAGAUGGGAUUAUCUAGUAGGUGGGGUAACGGCGCACCUAGGCGACGAUCCCUAGCUGGUCUGAGAGGAUGACCAGCCACACUGGAACUGAGACACGGUCCAGACUCCUACGGGAGGCAGCAGUGGGGAAUAUUGCACAAUGGGCGAAAGCCUGAUGCAGCCAUGCCGCGUGUAUGAAGAAGGCCUUCGGGUUGUAAAGUACUUUCAGCGAGGAGGCGUUACUCGCAGAAGAAGCAUCGGCUAACUCCGUGCCAGCAGCCGCGGUAAUUC
This 406-nucleotide ribosomal RNA is filed under the name uncultured bacterium. RNAcentral describes it as "partial 16S ribosomal RNA". It matches the Rfam family "Bacterial small subunit ribosomal RNA", at positions 30 to 526 of the family's 1533-position model. The record is from RNAcentral.